CCCAUACCAUGCCGCCUGAAGCUCUACCAUGGGAACUGAGUAAGAAGGAAAAAGUUUACCUCCAACACAUAAAACAACAGCAUGAUGAUUUCGAAUAGCAAUUCCGACCGUCGUGUUGUCUGCUAUAACCGAGGUAUCAAAGUUAAUUUUGACAACUCCUUCGAGAGGGGGUAGCCAAGAGAUGAAUUGGAAAAAGUAGAAGGAAGCUUCCUUCGCAAUUGGCUACCCUAGUACCGACACAGAAGCUGUAAGCUAUUUGAGACAACACUUUCAUUUACUUUUAAAAAAGUCCAAAGCUUACAUAAAAGCUGCAAUGUAGUGAUAUAAAAAUGAUUGAAAAUGCAUUCAUUUUGGGCCC
RNAcentral lists this long non-coding RNA (358 nucleotides) under Elaeis guineensis (African oil palm). RNAcentral's name for it is "long non-coding RNA (EGUI_LNC001913)". The record is from RNAcentral. Lineage: Eukaryota; Viridiplantae; Streptophyta; Magnoliopsida; Arecales; Arecaceae.